UUACCGUUUACGAGGUGGAAGCGUGGUUGCCUCUCACCCAGUCGGCCUGGGUUCGAUCCCAGACGGUCCC
RNAcentral lists this transfer RNA (70 nucleotides) under Culex quinquefasciatus (southern house mosquito). RNAcentral's name for it is "tRNA-Glu". Lineage: Eukaryota; Metazoa; Arthropoda; Insecta; Diptera; Culicidae. The record is from RNAcentral.